ACAGAUAUGUACGACUGAGCCUUGAUUCCA
This 30-nucleotide non-coding RNA is filed under the name Cricetulus griseus (Chinese hamster). The record is from RNAcentral. Lineage: Eukaryota; Metazoa; Chordata; Mammalia; Rodentia; Cricetidae.